Molecule: long non-coding RNA, 581 nt
Organism: Nematostella vectensis (starlet sea anemone)
Lineage: Eukaryota; Metazoa; Cnidaria; Anthozoa; Actiniaria; Edwardsiidae
Exons: 2
Source: RefSeq, a predicted model, not a curated record
AUUUAUAAAUAUAUCUUUGAAUAUCAUAGAGGUUCUAUCUUGAGUUAAGGAGAGAUAAUGCCGUUGAAUAGAGGUAUUCUUUGAAUAGAGGUGUCAAUUUCAUAGAGGUGUCCCUUGAAUAGAGGGUCCCUUGUAUAGACAGUGAUCCUGAAUAUAACGAGGAUCAUGACAACCAUACGACAACAGAGACUGCAGAAAAGCACUGAAUUCAAUAUCUAUUUUUCGUCAGGAAUCUCAUCUUACUAAAAAUAAUGCAUUGUCUGCCUGGAUAGAGGUGCCCUUUGAAUAGAGGUGUAACUUGAAUAGAGAUGUUCAUUGAAUAAAGUUGUCCAUAAAACAAAACUAUUCCUUGAGUUAAGGAGAGAUAUGCCAUUGAAUAGAUGUAUUCUUUGAAUAGAGGUGUCAAUUGCAUAGAGGUUUACUUUGAAUAGAGGUGUCUCUUGAAUAGAGGUGUCCCUUGUAUAGAGGUGUCCCUUGAAUAGAGGUGUCCCUUUAAUAGAGGUGUCCCUUGAAUAGAGGUGUCAUUUGAAUAGAGGUGUUCCUUGAAUAGAAGUGUUCCUUGGAAAGAGGUUAGAAAACAG